RNAcentral lists this transfer RNA (73 nucleotides) under Microcaldota archaeon. RNAcentral describes it as "tRNA-Phe". It matches the Rfam family "tRNA". From Rfam's summary of the family: Transfer RNA (tRNA) molecules are approximately 80 nucleotides in length. Lineage: Archaea; Nanobdellati; Microcaldota. The record is from RNAcentral.
GCCGCGGUAGCUCAGCUGGGAGAGCAUUCGGCUGAAGACCGAAGGGUCGCUGGUUCAAAUCCGGCUCGCGGCA